This is a long non-coding RNA of Dalotia coriaria, 2415 nucleotides long. RefSeq lists it as uncharacterized. NCBI's taxonomy places the organism in Eukaryota, Metazoa, Arthropoda, Insecta, Coleoptera, Staphylinidae. The transcript has 6 exons. The record is from RefSeq and is a predicted model, not a curated record.
UAUCACAUUUUCAACAAAUGAACUAUUGUGCAGUGCCUUAUUAUUAGUGCGCGAGUGUUGCAAUAUACGUGUAGUGCGGGAGUGUUGUCUUAUAGUGCGGGAGUGAAAAUCGACUUUCUUCAGUUUUUACACUUACAUACACAUACACACCUUACACUUUUUGCUCUGUUCAUGAUCAUUGUCAGAGUUCUCGGGUAUUGGUGUGUUUCGGCACAUCUUACCCACACACACACACAUAUCACAUUUUCAACAAAUGAACUAUUGUGCAGUGUCUUAUUAUUAGUGCGCGAGUGUUGCAAUAUACGUGUAGUGCGGGAGUGUUUAAUUAUAGUGCGGGAGUGAAAAUCGACUUUCUUCAGUUUUUACACUUACAUACACAUACACACCUUACACUUUUUGCCCUGUUCAUGAUCAUUGUCAGGGUUUUUAGGGUAUUGGUGUGCUUCGGCACACCUUACCUGACAUUCUUAACACAUAAUACAAAACAAAAUAAAUUAAAAUAACACAACAUCAGGGUAGGUAACUAAGGAUCAGGUAGAAUCAAUAGGAAACGCAUAAAAUGAAGAAUGACAAGAAGAAGAACAGAAGAAACAAACAAAUGGUUGGCAAAGAAAAUUUACCCAACACGAUGAUACAAUGAGCCUUGCAUUAACAGAAAGAAUCCAAUAUUAAUUGUGAAAAUCAAGAAUUUCAACGAAACUAAAUGGAAUGGGUAUGAAUACCAACAACUGUAAUAAAUAAUUGUGUUUGUGUGUUUUACUAUAGUGCGCGAGUGUUUUUAUAUAGUGCGGGAGUGUGAAAUUUAGUGUUAUCAAUAUUAGUGUGAAAUAGUGCUUCAGUGAAGAUAUUUGUUCUUACUCAUCUAUUCUGGAUACAGCCGAAUUACCUAAGCAGAAAAACUUCUACAUCAGAGUCAAACAACAUAUUAAAUUGAUAAAUUUUAGAAUGAGAUACGUCAAAAUGGAAUUGGAUAAAUACUGAUACCAACGUUUUGUGCAGUGCAAUGUAUUAUUAAUAGUGCGUGAGUGUUGAAUUAUAUUGUGCAUUUCGUUAAACAAGUGUUAGUGCGGGAGUGCGCGAGUGUUGCAAUAUAGUGCGGGAGUGAUGAGAUAUUUAAUAAUUUCUUUCCAGUUUGCACGAAUUUUUUUCACUGCACGAAAGUCAAUAGUCAUGUUGCACGUUGUUAUGUUUCACUUUUGAAUGUGAAACAAGAAGAUCCUUCCAUCCUGAGGGCCAUGAAGAGAUAAGACGCUCUGUUGGAAUAUGGCACAUUUCAAAAGAACUUGAGGAGCCGAAGAAGAAUAUGUUAUCCGUCCACGCCGAGGUUGAUCCUGAUGGUCCAAAAUCAGCCAGCUUUCCACCCUUGCGGGUCAGGGCCUGAUGUGUAUACCCAUCAAGGAAUGGGUUCCUACCCUUGCAAAGUCGGGGAGAAACUGAGCUGACGAAGACUUAAUGAGGUGCAGUUCUGUCCACGCCGAGGUCGAUCCUGAUGGUCUCGGCUCAGCUAUCUUUCCGCCUUUGGGGGUCAGGGCCUGAUGUGUAUACCCAUCAAGGAAUGGGCUACUGCCCUCAGGGGUAUGCAAACCUGGAAAGAAACUGAGCUGACGACGAAGAAGAAGAGGUCGAUGUGAUGCAGUUCCAUCAACGCCGACGUCGAUCCUUAAAAGGCCGGGACCUGUUGCAGCCAACUAUUCGACCAGGAAAAGCCUCUGGGGGUCGUGUGUAUACCCAUCAAGGAAUGGGCCACUACCUCCGGGGGUAUGAACAGCCGCCAAGAUGCUUAGAAGCUGGAUUACAUUUCUUGCCACCGUUGGGAUUCAACAUGGGGAGCAUGAGGGCAACAUGCACAUGAAUCACACAAACAUCGCAUUUUUUAAUUGCUUUAAUAUCUUUUAAUUUUUUUAGUUUUGCAAAAAUAACUUGAAAGUGAAGAAGACGAAACAUUAUAAUGCAAAAUGUCACAUUCAGUGGUGAACAAAAAUGGAUCAACAAUUGUCAGAAUGAGAGGACUCAAAAUUGUGUUUCAUGUGUUCACAAGCAGUUCGUAGUGUAGUGUAGUGUAGUGAUAGCAAGCACGUAGUUGUAGUUAUAGUUGUAGUCGUAGACUAGAAGUAGUGUAGUGGACUGUGAAAUGAACACUGAAAUGCAAUUUCCUUACUGUAACUAUUGUUGACUCCAUUUAAUCAAAGAUGUGAAGAUGCAAAUCGACAUUAAUUGUUCCGGAACGACCUGUAAGGAAGAAGCACUCAAUCCUUGCCAAAAUCGUGGUAUACCAAGAGGGACACACAAAACAUUUUGUUUUGAUAUUGCGAUUUUUAAAGACAUAAAAUCGAGACAUAAUUACAAUGUAACAUAAUUACUAUUUAAAAAAUUUAUAUAAGUUUUUGUGAUAGAAUUACAAUUUUGUUUGAGUUA